GAUGAACGCUAGCUACAGGCUUAACACAUGCAAGUCGAGGGGAAACGACAUCGAAAGCUUGCUUUUGAUGGGCGUCGACCGGCGCACGGGUGAGUAACGCGUAUCCAACCUGCCCACCACUUGGGGAUAACCUUGCGAAAGUAAGACUAAUACCCAAUGAUAUCUCUAGAAGACAUCUGAAAGAGAUUAAAGAUUUAUCGGUGAUGGAUGGGGAUGCGUCUGAUUAGCUUGUUGGCGGGGUAACGGCCCACCAAGGCGACGAUCAGUAGGGGUUCUGAGAGGAGAGUCACCCGCAUUGGAGCGGAGACACGGUCCAAACUCCUACGGGAGGCAGCAGUGAGGAAUAUUGGUCGAUGGGCGAGAGCCUGACCCAGCCAAGUAGCGUGCAGGAUGACGUCCCUAUGGGUUGUAAACUGCUUUUAUAAGGGAAUAAAGUGAGUCUCGUGAGACUUUUUGCAUGUACGUUAUGAAUAAGGACCGGCUAAUUCCAUGCCAGCCGCCGCAGUAA
Molecule: ribosomal RNA, 508 nt
Filed under: uncultured bacterium
Lineage: Bacteria
Description: partial 16S ribosomal RNA
Rfam family: Bacterial small subunit ribosomal RNA
Source: RNAcentral